UGGCUUUCCUGUGCUUUUCNACCUUGCUGC
This 30-nucleotide non-coding RNA is filed under the name Mus musculus (house mouse). The record is from RNAcentral. Lineage: Eukaryota; Metazoa; Chordata; Mammalia; Rodentia; Muridae.